GGGGUUGGGUUGGUUUUGACAGCAGGAUAGAGGCUCGGGCAAGCACGCAGUUAUAGGUGGCAGAUAACUUUAAACCCGGCUACAAGAAAUUAAUUGGCGAAAAUACUUACGCUCUUGCUGCCUAACCGAAGUAUAGUAAGUUAGCUUUAUCGGCACAAGGUGCUGAGCAAGACGCUCCUCCAAAGAUUUACAACUUUCAAUCACGGGACAAAGGGGUGCAUCAUUUAGAAAGUUUAGUUAGUGGUUUUCUUCGUAUCGCUAAUGAAAAUUUAGAAGAUAAGUUAAAGGAAAGUGUGUCUGUUCACUGCCUUUUCCUGACAAAGAGUAACAGAAUAAGCGUGUAGAAAACUUGAAGUUUCUCUUGUUUGGACCAGGGUUCGAAUCCCUGCAACUCCACU
RNAcentral lists this transfer-messenger RNA (398 nucleotides) under bovine gut metagenome. It matches the Rfam family "transfer-messenger RNA". Rfam says of the family: Bacterial tmRNA, also known as 10Sa RNA or SsrA, is named for its dual tRNA and mRNA-like properties. The record is from RNAcentral.